ACGUAGCCCGGCGCGGGGCGCUGCAGCGCUGCCACUUGGCCGGGCGGGGCGGCGGUCUGGCUGAAGCGCGGCUGGCGCUAGGGGGAGCCCCGGGCACGAGCCGGCGUCCGCCCGCCCGUGUGGCUGUCCGGGCUGCUCGAUCUACCCGGCGCUCGGGUCAUCCCGUGGGUCAGACCCUCGGAAGGGAAGGGUGGUUAACUGCUGCAGUGCGAGCAGUUUGCUCGCAGCCCGCGGUCUCAGGGUCCGUUUUCAGUCUCGGCGGUGUAUGGCUCCCCAGAGCCCUUCUGUGCCACCUCGCGGGUCCCUUUGUUUCACAGCUGCGUUUAUCCUCACAUUUGGCGUUCGCUGAGGUGCGUGUACACCAUCAGUGCUCUGCAUCGCAGCCGGUGCACUUAGUUAUGCCAGACAUCUCUCUCACAAAGAACUCUGGUUUUGAAAAUGCCUGAGAACGGUGUGCAAGGAAAAGAAAUAAGAAGGCAAAACUGUAAUGGUGCUUCACCAGCAUGCUGUGAGCUCCUUGUGCGGGUGAAGGGCUGCCUAGUUGAGGAUAGAGAUGUAAAAGGAAUUCAUUAUUUUUGUGUAAUUUCAAUGGAAUCAUUAUUUUCCACUGAAUUCUAAUGUGGUGUCUUCAUAGUCCUUCAGCAGCAGGCAGUGCUAGCAGUGCUGAGUGACCAUUUUCAUACCUUCUUUCCUAUUUGCUUCCUGUUAGAGGGAAGUAGUCGCCCACAAUGGAAGCUUGUCCUUCUCCUCGGCCUUGAAGCUGCCAUGGAAUCCGUAUGUUGGAGGAUGUGUUACUGAUCCAUAUUGCCACAAGCAGAAACUGCAUGUUUUUAGGAAGUCUAGAAGAGGCAAAAGAAAGCAAAAGACAUCACUAUUCACCCCAAUGAUCUUGCUGCUGUUCUGACUGACCACAAGAGCUGAAAUAGCUCUACGGGAGUAAAGAAUCUCUAACA
Phasianus colchicus (ring-necked pheasant) is the source of this 953-nucleotide long non-coding RNA. RefSeq lists it as uncharacterized. The record is from RefSeq and is a predicted model, not a curated record. NCBI's taxonomy places the organism in Eukaryota, Metazoa, Chordata, Aves, Galliformes, Phasianidae.